This 254-nucleotide ribosomal RNA is filed under the name uncultured bacterium. Its description in RNAcentral is "partial 16S ribosomal RNA". It matches the Rfam family "Bacterial small subunit ribosomal RNA", at positions 524 to 776 of the family's 1533-position model. The record is from RNAcentral.
UACGGAGGGUGCAAGCAUUAAUCGGAUUUAUUGGGCGUAAAGGGCGCGUAGGCGGAUGUGUAAGUCAGAUGUGAAAUUCCGGGGCUCAACCUCGGAGCUGCAAUUGAAACUACACUGUCUAGAGGAUAGGCGGAGAAAACAGAAUUCCACAAGUAGCGGUGAAAUGCGUAGAUAUGUGGAAGAAUACCGGUGGCGAAGGCGGUUUUCUAGCUUACUCCUGACGCUGAAGCGCGAAAGCAAGGGGAUCAAACAGG